UCUUAUGUCCGAGUGGUUAAGGAGACUGAUCAGAAAUCAGUUGAGCUCUACCGACUCAGAUUCAAAUCCUGACUGUUGCGGAU
Molecule: non-coding RNA, 83 nt
Organism: Parelaphostrongylus tenuis
Lineage: Eukaryota; Metazoa; Nematoda; Chromadorea; Rhabditida; Metastrongylidae
Source: the annotation of a GenBank genome assembly